UGGGAAGGGAGAGAUACAUGAAACACAAACGCAGCCAUGCAGCAAGGGUCUCAUUCUGCCUCUUAGCUGGCUAGGUUUCUUGUUCUCAUGGGGGGAAAUGCACGUGUACACUCCCUCCCCGCAAACCCACACAAAAUGAAACCCCCUCUUCAGAGAAGCCAGCUACAGGAAAUUGACUGAUGCACAGGAACUUGCUAAUCGCUUUUGUCACAUUCGGAUUGUUCCUGCUGUCUCGGUCACUUCGCACAGGCUAAGCCCAGCUGCCUCUGGUUGGCUUUUCCACUGGUGCAACUUCGUGGUUUUAGCUCUUCCAACGUGAAUCAGUCCUGUCUUGGAUGGACAGAUCAGCACACUCGCCACACUGAGGAGGCGCGGGCUGUGUUUGUGUUUGCCUACCUGCAUCAAGCGAACUCGACUUCCGGAGUCAGGCAUUUUGGUGGCAAGACGUUUUUGGGGGGCAUUCUACAACUGUGUCUUCCCUUCGUGCACCAUUUAUGCAGAGAAAGGCGUGUGUGGCUCGGAGUACGUAGAAAACUGUGCUUCUGGUUUCUGUGCAAUCAUCCUGUAAUGAAUGUGGCCUUCCUCUUGGGAGGAUGAGCUGGCUGGUGGGUCAACAAGUCUGCGUUCCUCAAAAGCCAGUCCUAAAUCCCACGGAGCAGGUGUUACUUCCCUUGGACGUCUGAAUGAGGUGUUACGGAUAUACUCUUCUGUCCCUGGACGUCGCUGUAGGUCGUGAGCCUGUCGCAGCGGUUCCUGGACUGUGAAGUAUCGGAGUCCACAUAAUACAAACAUACAGAAGGGGAGACAGCUUGCCGCGUGUUGUUGAAUCAGUCCUCUUUCAGCGGUGGAAGCCUGAACGAGUCAUUUACAUUCUUCAAUGUUUAGAUUUUUUAAAAAUAUCUGUAACAUAUCUCUAAUGACAGUCAUACUAACUGAAAAUACUAACCUUAGUAGGUUGCUGUAGAGAUAAAAUGAGAUAAAAACACGUGAAGCACUUAGCUCAGUGCUUGGCAUAAAAGAAAAUCUCAAAUAUGUGAUUCUCAAUAUUGUGAUGCUUUUAAAAAUUUUAUCAGUAUGUGUUUGCAGUACGUGAUGCUUACAUGGAUCUUGGGGAGGGGGUACAUGUGCAUAAUAAGCCUUGAUUCUUUUUUACUCACCUUCCCUCCCCACUCGCCUCCCUCCCUCCAACACUAAAUUCCUUUUCCUUUUUCAUUAUUAUUAGUACUUUUACUUGGUGCAACAACACAUAAUGUUUAUAUUCCUUGAGGACAUUUGGUAAAGACUUGGCGAUGGUCACAAAUGAAGACAGCCUGAUCCCCAACUAGCCACACUUUCAGUGCCAAUCUUCCUUUCAAAGAAAACUGGAGAUGACAGAGUCUUCAUCUUCUUGGGACAUAGCUUGACAGACAAGGAGAGGCCCAAGGCCCAUCUUUACGUUGGAGGCCGAGUUGAGGGUGCACCGGGAGGGCGAGGGUCUGACACCUGGAGUCAGAUCUACACGGGCCCCUGCCAGCCAUCCUAGUCCCCACCUGGGUUUUUUGUGGUUGGCUCACACUGCUGCGAUAUUUCCCAGUCACAAAUUCCUUUAAGAUCUGAGGAGAGCUGAUGCUUUUCUUUGAGAGAAAGCACGUAUAUAGGAAUACAGACAUUUGCUGUACACUUCCAGGGGAUUUUUAGGCCCUCUAAAACCCAUCCAUGGACUUCAGGGGUCCAGAGGUUUCAUGUCUAGAACUCUUGCCUCCAAGCUGUCAGUACAGUAAAGGAAGCAUUGCAGAGGGUGAGAAAAUCAAGCUGUGGUUGUGAACGUCACAUUAGACAGCAGCCCUAACUCUCCAACUGAAAGGAAGGCAAGAUGGCAGAUAUAAUUUUACCACCUCAGAUUCUCAAGCUGAGUCAUCUAUAGGGCUAGAGUUUUAGGGAACAUAUGGUUAACGCUUUAAGUUCUUAGCAUAGAAUUCUCUUUCGGGGCUAUUUCCACUUUUAGUGUUUUUCUUACUGUCACACGUGGCGUCGGACAGCGUAGCAAUGCUGGCAGAUCAUAAAUACUGGGCUGGCCAACUCUAGAGGGUAGUGAGAGAAUGGCCAUGGGUCAUCUGACACGUUUCAGCUGUUGACACCGAGCCAGCCCACUUCAGGGGUGAAGGCAUUGGCCGUUAUAUCAUGUGCUUGCUUCUGAGUGCAAGAGUCACUCCGUGAAGCUGAGUGUCUGAUGACUUUGGUGACAAGCCUCGCUGUGUAGACCUCUGCCCACGGCAGCCCAGCUGGCCUUAGUCAGUCAGUGGGCACCUGACUGAUAAUGUGGGAAACUGUAUUUUUGAUUGAAAGUUCACAUCUUUUGUAACCUCUUUGUCCACCUGGCCUGAGAUGCCAGGCAGGGCAUGGAGACUGAGCCCAGGCCCACCCCUUUUAACUGGUCAGAAGGCGAUGAGACCGUGGGGUUAUGUCAUGGACAGAGAGUGGCUAGAUAGGGCAGGGAGGGGAACUGAAUCCAUCUUCAAACCUCCAGAGAACAAAUAUUGAAAUUGGCUAAUAAACUGAGAAAUAUGAGUCAAGAUUCUCUUUGCGGAUAGCAUGAGAAUUGUACCUCUGUGUUUGAGGUAGAAAAUGAAAAUCUUAAGCAGGCAUUCAUGUAAUAAGUGCAACUCAUCUUCGAUUACCAUUUUGGUUAAUAUACACCCGUGAUUAGUUUUCCUGCCACUUUCAAUAUAUAUUUUAAUAAUAACGUACCACAUAACCUCCAGCCAUAGUCCUCAAAGCACAAAUACGGAAGGCAGGCCCUGAUUUAUGUCACUGGCCUUGAUGAAUUUUCAACUCUGUUAUGGUGGGUGCCACACAAUACACAGCCAUUCUGUUUUUUACUCUCAGUACAAUACUCAAUAAGUUACGUGAUAUAUUCAACACUUUCUUAUGAUAUAAAUAUCAUGUUACAUAUUUUUUCCCAGCCACAGGCUAAAGUUCGUGUUCUGAUGUUUAAGAUAGGCUCUGCUUAGCUGUGACAUUCAGUAGGUUAGGUGAACAAAAUGCAUUUUCAACUUGACGAUAUUUUCAGUUUAGGAUAUAACACCUUUAUGAGGAACAUCUGCUUAGCACAUCCACUAACAGCCAGCAGCAACUCCUCGUCCAGACACGGCUUCCCCGUGUGACUAGCAGCCUGCUGCUGCUGUGGGGAGCCAGUCCUCACAGUCCUCCUCCAUGUUUCUUGUUUCGUUCAGGUAGGAACCUACUUUCCGUCCACCUCGCCCCGCUUCUGGUCCAGCUAUCAUCCUUGUGGCACCUCUAAACACACAUCUGUCACCAUGGACUUUUUUUCCUUCUAUCUUGUGCUUUGUUUUCAGUUGGCACAAAAGUUUCUACCAGGGUUGGGGAUUUAGCUCAGUGGCAUAAGCGCCUGCCUGGCAAGUACGAGAUCAGGAGUUCGACUGCCAGUACCAAGAAAAAAAUUUCUACCCGUGUCCAUUCCAGCUGUGAACUGAAAAUGAUCCUGGCCGUGGUGGGGAAGUGUAAGGGUGGCCUGUGAUAAUUCCUUCUAGCAGAAAGAAAAGCCACAGAUGUGGAUUCAUCUUUAAAUGAUGAAAAGCCAUCGCCAUCAUCUACAAAAAUCCACCUGGUGUCUUGGUUGUACAUGCUUGAUGAAUCCUGAUUUGCCACUCUCUUUUGGAGUGGCUGGUUGAAAUUUGUAUCAGUAGUUUUUCUUCCUCUGGUUGUCAUGAGGGAGGAGAGGUGUGUUGGAGGUAAAUACAGGAAAUAGGAGGCGAACAGCUAGCAAAAUUUUACAUAUUAGCAGUACCACAAUUUCCUAUAGCUGCUACAACAAUAUUGUUAGUUCAUUCCUAUAGGCAGACUAGUUGGCAGUGUCAGAGAAGUAGAGUAAUAAUGUUAAUUUUUAAAAUAUAACAGUAAGUAGGUGUAUAAUGGUAAUGUAUAUUCAUUGUAGCAAAAAUAAUGUAUAUCUUAUAUAUUUUAUUUGUAAAUUUUAUGCAUUAAAAUUGCCACCAUCCCAGUGUUUUCCCUCCGAAUAAAUAAAAUCUAUCUUAAAAGGCUUCAGUAUUACUUCUUUGUAUAAUAGAAAUAUAGCUAAUGGGUAAAAAUCAUUUGAAUUAAUGAAGGGCAUCUAUAGGAAUCUUUUGCAGGUCUCUGGCUAUCUUUUCUUUCUUUUUAUCCUCUACAUUUCAGAAAAAGCAUUAAAAUAUAAUUGUGUCAAUGUUUCUGCUAAACUCUAGAAACAUGAGAAUACAUGGAUGGUUUUCACAUGGCCACAGAGGGGUCCUAUACAAAACUUGAUCAAAGAUUAAAAUCAAACUAAGAGUUUUGGAUUUUUACAAUGGCUGCCCAUUUGACAGGGUAUAUAGCAAAGACCCAUCACACACAUAUGUAUAAGGGAAGAAAAAUUAAAGUUUCUCUUCUAGUAGGGGUUAGAUGUCUAUAGUUUCAGUUUAAAAACUAAUUUGUACAAGUAUAUUUAAGGACAAAAAGUCAAUGUUUUCAGCUUAAGUUCAUGUUUAUUUAUUUAUUUUUUUGAUCUGUGACCAGCCCAGUUCACGGAGUUAUAUUAUCAUAAGUCUUCCACCACUUAACCGUCCUUUUCUUUGGAGAACUGAAAUAAUCUACUUUAAAGCUUUUCCUACAUUCAUCUGUGCAGUCGGAGUUUAAACAUUAGUGCUCUUUCCUUUAAAAUUUGGUCAUAAUUGAUUUUAUUUCUCCACAGGUAUGUAGUUUGUUAUUUUAUCAAUUAUAAUUAUUUUUUGUCUCCUUUGCAAAUUUUGAGAGUGCUUAAUGAUUCUUAAUUAUUCAAAUGAUUAAUGAUCAGGGUGAAAUACAGAAUAAAUACCAAGUUUAGUUGUCCUUAAAGUUGGAUUUGAAACCUUUAGAUUUUAUAAUAUUUUUUCGUUUCCUAUAAAAUAUUGGCCAAAAAUAGAAUUUAUAAAUAAUAUCACCAGCCAGUCAGAGAAGAGGGCCAAAUUGUUCUGCUUGAUAUGCUCUGUUCUGAACUGUGAUUUUGAAUUCUUUUAGAUAGCUUCAGAAGACUUCAGAAAAAUAACUAAUAGUUGCGCAGUAUGAACAAAUAGCCUGUAAAUAUUAAUAGCUUUUUAUUACUUCUGAGAAUUAUUCCUAAGUGAACAGCAUAAGUUGUUUUGCAAUAAAGGCAGAUCUUUUUCACAUGAUUUUUAUCAUAGAGAAACUUAAAAUGAACCUAAAAAAUGCUCAACAGAAAUCAGUGAUUAAACAAGCUAUCUUUCAUCCUAUUUAAUUUUAAUUGUGAUAUUUUUGAAGAAUAUUUAAUAACAAGUGAAAAAAACUGAAAUUAUAAAAAUCAUACAUGCUUAUAUAUAAAAGGCUUAUAUAUGUGUUUUUAUUUAUGAGUUCUGAAUAUGGAGGCAAACAAAGCAGUAUAUUACGUGAUUUUUUGGUGUGUGAUAAAGUUACAUAUGAUUUUAAGAUGUUCUUCAUUUUUUCCACCUUUUUAAUAGCUAGCAUGUAUUAUUUUUAUAUAAAAAGGCCAGUAACUUCAUUAAAAGAAAACCAAUUUUUGGUGAAAGGUUAACAAUAAAACUGACAUGAACAUUAUUUAACAUUUUGAAGGAAACUGAAUACUUUGAAAGCUCUAAGUCUAUCCUUAUAUGUUUUAAAAUUUAGAGGAAUGUUAGAUUUAGAACAGUUUCAGGUUUCUUGGGUCUUUAACCUUAAUAAGCACAGAAAUUUUGUUUCUAUUCCCAUGCUGGGAAUUGAACCCAGUGUCCUUGGGCCUGCCAGGCAAGCGCUCUCUUUCUGAGAUACUCUCCUAAGAGGAGAAAAUGAUUUUUAAUGAAAAAUAUUGGAGUUACUAAAUAUGCAUAUGAAUGGCUUAUGUUUUUUAAUAUGGGAGAAUUAGCUUCAUAACUACUUUCAGAAUUUAAGCAAAAUAUAAAACUUUAAAGUGACGAAUACAGAUGAGUAUUUCUGAAUUUUUAACAUGUAAGGGGGUCCCCAAGGGAUCUUUUAAGAAGUACAUUUUCCUUAUGUAUCUUAAAUAGUCAAUUUAGGAAUAAUUGACUUUCAAAUAUUUCAAAACACAUGCCUGCUAGAUAAAUCAUAAAUAUAUUUAUUUUGGUGUGAAGUAGGAGAAUUACCUUACGUUUCCUUUCAUGGACAUUUUUCAACACAGCAAUAGCAAAUAUCUAAAAGAUUGUUCAUGUUAAGUGCCAAAUGCUGAGAUGUUAUAAAAUUCUUUGAAAAGCUGGUUAGUUUAACAACAAAAAAAGUUUCCCGUUUCAACAUGAAUGCAAUCUCCUGUUUGAUUUGUGUGGUAUUCUUGAUUACUUUGUUUUUUCAACUCAAGACCUUUUGUUUGCCGGGCAGGUGCUUAUGCCACUGAGCUAUAUCGCCAGCCCUCCUGAUUACAUUUUUUCUUUAGGCAUGCUCCUUUCUGGCUUUGGUUUAAAAACUCAUGGUCAUGUUAGGACCGUUGUUUCUGAGAAUACAGUGUCUGACCAACACUUUCACUUGCAAAGUUGUACAGUACCCUGGAUUCAGGGUUCUGUGUAACGAGAAGCCUGAGGCUUAUGUCUGUGUGUUUGGCCCGGGACUCAGUCAGACGGUCUACAGUCUUGUCGUUCCUUAUCCUGGUAGAUGCAAGGUAAGAGCUGUGGCUUUUAGUUCUUCAGUCUUUUUUUUUUUUUUUUUUUUUUUCCAUUCUGGAGCAUGAGAAUUGAGAAAGGAAGGUGAGUUCGCUGUGGCUGUCUCUUUUUCCAGGAAAAGUAGAAUUUUCCCAGAGAUUUCCUAACAGUGACAUUACCUUCUGUGUCACUGACUGGAUUGCAUUAUCUAGCUUGAGGAAGAUGAAGAAACAGAAAGUGAAUUGUAAUUCCCCUUUACAACAUUUUUUUUUUUUUUGGUGGUGCUGGUGGUGGUACUGGAUCAAAUCUAGAGUCUUUGCACUGAGCUAAAUCUACAGUCCUUCAGUCCUUUUAAAAUUUAACUUAUUUUUUUAAUUUUAAGACAGGGUUUCACUAAUUUGCUAAAUUGAUAAAUUGGGCUUGGAUUUGUGAACUUCCUUACUCAGCCGCCCAGAGCACUGGGAUUAUAGGUUAGCAUCACUAGCGUAACUAGACCAUGAAUUCUUAAAGAUAAAGUAUAAAGAAUGAAAGGAGUGAGGGGUGGAGGUGUGGGGCUUGGGGUGCAGAUGGGAGCUGGAAGGUCCUGCUGAUGUCAUCUCCAACGGGAAGAAUAUUCUUUUGUAGAAUAAAAAAGGCAGGGAAAGAACUUUGUUUUUACCCUUAGACAACAUAAAGUACAGAUAUAUCUAAUAGCACAUAAACAGAUAUUUAGUAUAUCUAUGAUAUGCAAUUAAAAUUGUGAUAACUUAAAGGAAUGAUAAUGAAAAAAUGUUGGGAAACAUUGAUUUAGAUGAAAUGUGACCUGCUGUCCAAGGCUUUGCAUCUUGUCUUACAAACAAAACUUGAUUCUAUUACUAAGGACAAAGAGAGGCUCAGAUAGUGGAUAAACAGCUAAUAAAGCCUGAGGUAGAUCAUGUCACAAACUAACUUAAAGGACAGGUAACAGGCCCUUGUAGGUGUUAGUCCUCUCUUAUUGGACAAUAAGCAUCAUCACAGGAACUUACCUCCUUUGACAUCUGUCUUUAUACAUUAGCACACCAGGCCCUCAAUGUGUGUGCUUUAUAGGGCAAAUGAAACAAUUUCCCCUAAUAUACAUUUUGCAGCUUGACCAAUCACCUAAUAUCGAUUUUCACGUAUUUCUGUCCUUGGAAACCUCUUCAGCAGCCUGUUAGUCACUUUUCAGUUUAUUGAGACAAAAUACCCAACACACAAAGUUAGAGGAGAAAAAGUUUAUUGUAGGUUUCAGUCCCUAGUGUGCUGGCUCCCAGGCAAGGCGGCGUGGCAGAGGGGCGCUCAGAGGAGAAACAGCUCAGGGUGGGCAGAAGUCAGCAAGACAGCAAAGUGGUGAAGAAGCAGAAGCAACAACAGUGACCUCAGCAGCGCGCUUUCUGUCUCUUGUCUUCUCUCCGGGCUACAUGCCCUUGGGGUGGGCGCAGCACUAAGAUCAAGGUUGGACUUCCCAUUAUCCACACUCAGAAUUAUGCCAGACUGAUCAGUGGGCCAAUUUAGUAAGCACACACCCAGCACCACACACUCUAAUCCAGCCAGCUCUGAAAAGUACCACCCAUGACUACAUGAGGCUUUGGGGGACAUCUAGACACAGCUGUAACAAGCAGCUUCUAGUACCAUGCAGACACCAGGUCCAAGACCCUCCUUUCCUAUCACAUUCUUAGGUGCAGCCUGUGUCACGACAUGCUGAUUCCUCUGCCCCUGGAUUUAGUCCUCUGUGCCUUUGCACCAUGCCAUUUUCCUAUUUUUGUCUUGUCAAACUUCCUUCCUCUCUAAACGCCACUUGGUGUCACCUCUUCUGAGGCUUAGGUGCAUCCAACCAUCCAGAAUACUCUUCUUUGUCUCCAGCCUUUUCGAAUCUUCCCUUCAUUGCCUGUGUUAAAUCCUGCUUCCUCCACCAGGUCUUUGCAGUAACCCCAACCCUGGCACAUCUCCACUGUCUCUAAAUCCUACUUGUUUAAUGUAUCCAAAGUCUCCACCUGUUAUUUACCUGGUCCCAGCAUCUGUAUUUGUAUCUUGUCUCCACAAUAGGUUGAAGUCUUACAUUGCCCAGCUCAGUGCUGUGUGAAUAGAAAACAAUUAAUAAAAGUUGGCUGACUAACAGAUAAAAAUGAAUUUUAAAUGUCAAUAGAUAAAAUGAGCGACAGUAAGUUGAUGAAAAUUGUUUUCCUGGCAGUUCUAAAAUCCAUUGUAUCCAUAUUUUA
This is an RNA transcript of Cavia porcellus (domestic guinea pig), 8806 nucleotides long. It is a transcript of the gene named ras homolog family member H, with no coding region annotated. Lineage: Eukaryota; Metazoa; Chordata; Mammalia; Rodentia; Caviidae. The record is from RefSeq and is a predicted model, not a curated record. The transcript is spliced from 3 exons.